UGGGGGAUAUUGCACAAUGGGGGAAACCCUGAUGCAGCGAUGCCGCGUGGAGGAAGAAGGUUUUCGGAUUGUAAACUCCUGUCGUAAGGGAAGAGAAAGGACUGUACCUUACAAGAAAGCUCCGGCUAACUACGUGCCAGCAGCCGCGGUAAUACGUAGGGAGCGAGCGUUGUCCGGAAUGACUGGGUGUAAAGGGAGCGUAGGCGGGAUGACAAGUCAGAUGUGAAACCUGAGGGCUCAACCUUCAGACUGCAUUUGAAACUGCUGUUCUUGAGUGAAGUAGAGGUAAGCGGAAUUCCUGGUGUAGCGGUGAAAUGCGUAGAGAUCAGGAGGAACAUCGGUGGCGAAGGCGGCUUACUGGGCUUUUACUGACGCUGAGGCUCGAAAGCGUGGGGAGCAAACAGGAUUAGAUACCCUGGUAGUCCACGCUGUAAACGAUGAUUACUAGGUGUGGGGGGAUUGACCCCUUCCGUGCCGCAGUUAACACAAUAAGUAAUCCACCUGGGGAGUACGACCGCAAGGUUGAAACUCAAAGGAAUUGACGGGGGCCCGCACAAGCAGUGGAGUAUGUGGUUUAAUUCGAAGCAACGCGAAGAACCUUACCAGGUCUUGACAUCGAGUGACGUAUCCAGAGAUGGAUAUUUCCUUCGGGACACAAAGACAGGUAGUGCAUGGUUGUCGUCAGCUCGUGUCGUGAGAUGUUGGGUUAAGUCCCGCAACGAGCGCAACCCUUAUCAUUAGUUGCUACGCAAGAGCACUCUAAUGAGACUGCCGUUGACAAAACGGAGGAAGGUGGGGAUGACGUCAAAUCAUCAUGCCCCUUAUGACCUGGGCUACACACGUACUACAAUGGCGAUCGAACAGAGGGAAGCAAGACAGCGAUGUGGAGCCAAUCCCAAAAAAUCGCCCCAGUUCAGAUUGCAGGCUGCAACUCGCCUGCAUGAAGUCGGAAUUGCUAGUAAUCGCAGAUCAGCAUGCUGCGGUGAAUACGUUCCC
This 996-nucleotide ribosomal RNA is filed under the name uncultured bacterium. Its description in RNAcentral is "bacterial SSU rRNA". It matches the Rfam family "Bacterial small subunit ribosomal RNA", at positions 355 to 1375 of the family's 1533-position model. The record is from RNAcentral.